GGGGAAUAUUGCGCAAUGGGGGAAACCCUGACGCAGCAACGCCGCGUGAAGGAAGAAGGUCUUCGGAUUGUAAACUUCUUUGAUGAGGGAAGAAAAAAAUGACGGUACCUCAAAAACAAGCCACGGCUAACUACGUGCCAGCAGCCGCGGUAAUACGUAGGUGGCGAGCGUUGUCCGGAAUUACUGGGUGUAAAGGGCGUGUAGGCGGGAUUGCAAGUCAGAUGUGAAAUUCCGGGGCUUAACCUCGGCGCUGCAUCUGAAACUGUGGUUCUUGAGUGCUGGAGAGGAUAGUGGUAUUCCUAGUGUAGCGGUGAAAUGCGUAGAUAUUAGGAGGAACACCAGUGGCGAAGGCGACUAUCUGGACAGUAACUGACGCUGAGGCGCGAAAGCGUGGGGAGCGAAC
RNAcentral lists this ribosomal RNA (403 nucleotides) under uncultured bacterium. RNAcentral describes it as "bacterial SSU rRNA". It matches the Rfam family "Bacterial small subunit ribosomal RNA", at positions 356 to 773 of the family's 1533-position model. The record is from RNAcentral.